This 74-nucleotide transfer RNA is filed under the name Cronobacter phage CR8. RNAcentral describes it as "tRNA-Pro". It matches the Rfam family "tRNA". From Rfam's summary of the family: Transfer RNA (tRNA) molecules are approximately 80 nucleotides in length. Their secondary structure includes four short double-helical elements and three loops (D, anti-codon, and T loops). The record is from RNAcentral. Lineage: Duplodnaviria; Heunggongvirae; Uroviricota; Caudoviricetes.
GUGUAUAGCGCAGCCUGGUAGCGCAUCUGGUUUGGGACCAGAGGGUCGCUGGUUCGAUUCCAGCUACACCGACC